Molecule: long non-coding RNA, 457 nt
Organism: Octodon degus (degu)
Lineage: Eukaryota; Metazoa; Chordata; Mammalia; Rodentia; Octodontidae
Exons: 3
Source: RefSeq, a predicted model, not a curated record
CGGAGCGGAGCGGAGGGAGCCAUCUCCGCUGGCACCCGGGAGGAGCCCAGGGCGCCGGGCCCGCCGCGGACCGCGUGGAAGACAGGGGCGGAUCCUGGACGCGAACCGAGGUUGCCCGACGCGUCGCGCUCUCGCGAUCUCUCCGGUGUGAGUGUCCUCAGCAUGCACCGACAGCAGUAGUGCUCCUUGAAGGUACAUACUGCACACCAUGCUGGGAGGAUCGGCCACCGUGGAGAUGCUUUCUUUUGACCUCAGCCCCGACCGACAGCCAUCAGCUGGACGCCGGUUGACACAUCCACACUUGCUCUGGACCCGACAGUUGCAGCCCAGCCGUGGAUCCCGGAGGCCAGCUGAGCAAGCCAGAAACCCUUGCCGCUACUCAGGUCCAGAAAGCAAUUAAGCAGCAAUAACAUCACCAUUAUUUAGGGGCACAAGGCUGGGGACUUGGGCUUGAGUU